GUUUGAUCAUGGCUCAGAUUGAACGCUGGCGGCAGGCCUAACACAUGCAAGUCGAGCGGAAACGAGUUAUCUGAACCUUCGGGGAACGAUAACGGCGUCGAGCGGCGGACGGGUGAGUAAUGCCUAGGAAAUUGCCCUGAUGUGGGGGAUAACCAUUGGAAACGAUGGCUAAUACCGCAUGAUGCCUACGGGCCAAAGAGGGGGACCUUCGGGCCUCUCGCGUCAGGAUAUGCCUAGGUGGGAUUAGCUAGUUGGUGAGGUAAGGGCUCACCAAGGCGACGAUCCCUAGCUGGUCUGAGAGGAUGAUCAGCCACACUGGAACUGAGACACGGUCCAGACUCCUACGGGAGGCAGCAGUGGGGAAUAUUGCACAAUGGGCGCAAGCCUGAUGCAGCCAUGCCGCGUGUAUGAAGAAGGCCUUCGGGUUGUAAAGCACUUUCAGUCGUGAGGAAGGUGGURKWGUUAAUAGCASUAUCAUUUGACGUUAGCGACAGAAGAAGCACCGGCUAACUCCGUGCCAGCAGCCGCGGUAAUACGGAGGGUGCGAGCGUUAAUCGGAAUUACUGGGCGUAAAGCGCAUGCAGGUGGUUUGUUAAGUCAGAUGUGAAAGCCCGGGGCUCAACCUCGGAANAGCAUUUGAAACUGGCAGACUAGAGUACUGUAGAGGGGGGUAGAAUUUCAGGUGUAGCGGUGAAAUGCGUAGAGAUCUGAAGGAAUACCGGUGGCGAAGGCGGCCCCCU
RNAcentral lists this ribosomal RNA (740 nucleotides) under Vibrio sp. GWS-TZ-H200. Its description in RNAcentral is "bacterial SSU rRNA". It matches the Rfam family "Bacterial small subunit ribosomal RNA", at positions 11 to 730 of the family's 1533-position model. Lineage: Bacteria; Pseudomonadati; Pseudomonadota; Gammaproteobacteria; Vibrionales; Vibrionaceae. The record is from RNAcentral.